Molecule: ribosomal RNA, 253 nt
Filed under: uncultured bacterium
Lineage: Bacteria
Description: partial 16S ribosomal RNA
Rfam family: Bacterial small subunit ribosomal RNA
Source: RNAcentral
UACGUAGGGGGCAAGCGUUAUCCGGAUUUACUGGGUGUAAAGGGAGCGUAGACGGCAGUGCAAGUUUGAAGUGAAAGGCGGGGGCCCAACCCCCGGACUGCUUUGGAAACUGUGCUGCUGGAGUGCAGGAGAGGCAAGUGGAAUUCCUAGUGUAGCGGUGAAAUGCGUAGAUAUUAGGAGGAACACCAGUGGCGAAGGCGGCUUGCUGGACUGUAACUGACGUUGAGGCUCGAAAGCGUGGGGAGCAAACAGG